RNAcentral lists this ribosomal RNA (254 nucleotides) under uncultured bacterium. Its description in RNAcentral is "partial 16S ribosomal RNA". It matches the Rfam family "Bacterial small subunit ribosomal RNA", at positions 524 to 776 of the family's 1533-position model. The record is from RNAcentral.
GACAGAGGUGCCAAGCGUUAGGCGGAAUCACUGGGCUUAAAGCGUGUGUAGGCGGGUCGUUAAGUACCUUGUGAAAUCCCCCCGGCUCAACCGGGGAACGGCUGGGUAUACUGGCGAUCUUGAGCGACCUAGGGGCAGUCGGAACAAGUGGUGGAGCGGUGAAAUGCGUAGAUAUCACUUGGAACGCCAAUGGUGAAAACAGACUGCUGGGGGUUCGCUGACGCUGAGACACGAAAGCCAGGGGAGCAAACGGG